CGCGGACAGCUACAAAAGCCCACCACGCGGGACGGCCAGUUGGGGCACGACAUCGCUCGAGAAACGAUGGAAACCCUAUCCUUUGUUCAGCCGCCAUCAAGCAU
Molecule: long non-coding RNA, 104 nt
Organism: Ixodes scapularis (black-legged tick)
Lineage: Eukaryota; Metazoa; Arthropoda; Arachnida; Ixodida; Ixodidae
Exons: 3
Source: RefSeq, a predicted model, not a curated record